This 2600-nucleotide long non-coding RNA is filed under the name Cavia porcellus (domestic guinea pig). Its description in RNAcentral is "lncRNA (ENSCPOG00000031941.1)". The record is from RNAcentral. Lineage: Eukaryota; Metazoa; Chordata; Mammalia; Rodentia; Caviidae.
CCACCGUUUCGGUUUUGUUAGGGGCGUUGCGAUGCAGCAUCGGGGCUGGGGCUGCGGCGCGGUCGGCAGGAGGGCGCCAGAGACCAGCCUCCGCGCCCCAGUUCUGCUAGAGACCUGGACGCGCGCGCCUCUUCGGGGAGUCCCGGUGGAGGAAAGAGGUCCUUGGGUGCCCUCUGCCCCCUACACCCCACUCUGAGGACGAGGUGAGCCGUGCUGAACCCUGCCGUGCCUCAGGACGCGGAGGGCUAGUCUCACUCAGUGUGUCCCUCCAGGGCACGAAGCCCGCCAGGCACGCGGGGCGCAAGGCGCUCGCAGGACACUGGGGCGCAGGCUCGCGCCCCUCUCGGACCUGCGGGGGAAGCCUGGCCUUUAUCCCGGCUCUGGCUCUUGCCCGCGGCCGGCGGCCUACGGCCCAGCCGCGGGCAAGGACAAAGAAACUCACUGCCCGGGCCGAGCAGCCCGAGAGCACGGCGGGCGCGCCGUGUGUGCGGGGAGGGGGUGCGGGGGGCGACACGAAAGCGCUCGCCCUGCAGCCCGACGCGGGUCCUGGCUCCUUCCUUUGCUGCUCUUUGUUCACAUUGUCUUAGAAAUGCCCCGACUCGCGGGUCAAGAUGGAGAAAGUUGCUGAGACAGGAGCAGCGCGUACGAGUCCGAAGCGGAGUCCAAAGCAAAGACAAGACCCCUGCUGGGCAGAAGCGAACCGGAGCCUUUUUACCAGGCAGAAAGUCAGCGCUGCCCACGACUCAGCUAAAGGCUGGAGGGGAAGGGCGCACUCCGCAACGGCGUGGAGGAAGAAGAGGGGCCUGGUGGUCCUCCCCCUCCUUCCACUCCCUCAGCCCUCUGCUGCAGUCCAGGCCCAUUGGGUGUCCAGGGACCAGCUCGGUGCGUCUGGCUCACGAGUUUCUGGAGGAGGGCCCUGCCCCGUGGUUUUUACUGCAGUCACCUCCGCGGUGGAACAGAGCCAGCUUUCACGUUAACUGCCCGGUGACAGAUAAAAGAAGCAGGGGGAGGAAGUGCCGCUUCUCAUAAACCGCUAGAGUGGCUCUCAUUAAUCACCGAGGUGGCCCGCAGCGCUCGGUGAAACGAGGGCGUUACCGACCAUUUGGUACAAUGCACCAGGCUGGGUUACUUUAAAAAAAAAAAAAAAAAAAAAAAACUGAUGGAAGACUGGCAGAAAGUGAGGCCGAGAUGGAGACUGGGAACGGUUGGUAAGGGGAGCAGCACGUGGACACUGCCACUGGAGACGGGGCUGGGACUGUUUCCACCAGCUGUCUCCAACCACAUUCUUUAGGUAUGAAUUUAGACUGUCAUCCAAUGAGCAAAGACCGUGGCUGCUUCCGAAUCCUGAAUCCUGCAGCGCAGUGACUGUCACCUUAAAAGCUAUGCAGCCGGGAGAGGAGGGCAAAGGCGCUGAUGGAGCACUUUUCCGGGUAGAGAAGCAGCCUCCUCAUUCGGGCUGCUUUCUUCCACUGCAGCUGGGUUAGUCCUUGUGUAAUCUGCACCCCCAGUUCCAACUGCUAGCAACCUGGCCUGGCCCAGUCCUUUCUCCGUGGACCAAAUCGCCUUUCUACAGCACUCGCCCCACUCUGAGACUCACCUCCGCACCUUCCUUCACAGCCUGCCAGGACCACGAAGUCCUCACCUGAUUUGGUGCUCCCAGGCUCAAAGAAGCCUGUGGCCUUGCUUUCUGGAUUCAUGUAGUAUAGUGGGCUGAGUAACACCUACUGCAGAAGACAGAUGGUAGAAAUAAAAGAAACAGUGCACACUACACACCCUCUGUUAGAUUCUGCUUUGCAUGGUUCUUCCCUCUGAUCACCCCUGGCCUUCUGACUAAGAUCAAGCACAAUUCCCCUCUGAAUUUUCCACCUGUAUCCAGCAACUCUGUGAGUGAUUCAAUUCCCAAAGCUCUCUUCUGCUGUUUCUCACCUGUCUUUUUUGCUAUCUAUUUAGCACUUAGACCUAGAAGAGAUUAAAUCACAAGUGAACUCAAGAGGGCUAUGAAAAGGACCGAGCACCCAAACAGGAGUCCCCAGAUCCCAAGCAUGUCAUCCAAACCCCCCCACCAGCACCCCCACAUCUACUCCCUUGUGACUGCAGGCCCCAGUGAGGACUGGUUUAGAUGCUUGUAUAAAGUGACCUAUGAACUACCAAAUCUUCCAUACAUUUAAAGUGGUCACUUGAGGGGAAAAAAAAGAAAACUCUGUUCACUUCCCCGCCUUUGUUCAUUAACUUGUGUCCCCUUUAAUUUCCUUGGUGUGCAAAUCACAGAACCCUUUCAUUCUCUCCCCACAGGGAUAGUCGGUUCCCAGUCUGACCCUGCCCGUGAGGUUAGGGCUUGGUAAAGGGAGAACCCUUGCAGCCAGCGUGCACUAACUUCUUCCUGUGUUUCAGACUCUAUUAAGUAUCUUUGUGCUCUGUGAGGGGAGUGUUAGUAAGUUUAGGUAACAGGAGCACUGCCACUGCAUUCCACAGAGUGGGAUCAGGUUUUGGACUUCAGAUUGCCCUUCGCAUCAACACCUUGUACUAUGACAGGCCUAUAUCUUUAACUUUUUAAUAACAUGUUUCCACAAAAUAAAUAUACAAGUGUCAAUAGCAGGCAA